RNAcentral lists this ribosomal RNA (663 nucleotides) under uncultured bacterium. RNAcentral's name for it is "bacterial SSU rRNA". It matches the Rfam family "Bacterial small subunit ribosomal RNA", at positions 505 to 1168 of the family's 1533-position model. The record is from RNAcentral.
GUGCCAGCAGCCGCGGUAAUACGUAGGGCGCAAGCGUUAUCCGGAAUUAUUGGGCGUAAAGAGCUCGUAGGCGGUUUGUCGCGUCUGCUGUGAAAACGCGGGGCUCAACUCCGCGCCUGCAGUGGGUACGGGCAGACUAGAGUGCGGUAGGGGAGAUUGGAAUUCCUGGUGUAGCGGUGGAAUGCGCAGAUAUCAGGAGGAACACCGAUGGCGAAGGCAGAUCUCUGGGCCGUGACUGACGCUGAGGAGCGAAAGGGUGGGGAGCAAACAGGCUUAGAUACCCUGGUAGUCCACCCCGUAAACGUUGGGAACUAGUUGUGGGGGCCUUUCCACGGUCUCCGUGACGCAGCUAACGCAUUAAGUUCCCCGCCUGGGGAGUACGGCCGCAAGGCUAAAACUCAAAGGAAUUGACGGGGACCCGCACAAGCGGCGGAGCAUGCGGAUUAAUUCGAUGCAACGCGAAGAACCUUACCAAGGCUUGACAUAUAGAGGAAAGUUCUGGAAACAGUUCCCCCGCAAGGUCUCUAUACAGGUGGUGCAUGGUUGUCGUCAGCUCGUGUCGUGAGAUGUUGGGUUAAGUCCCGCAACGAGCGCAACCCUCGUUCUAUGUUGCCAGCACGUAAUGGUGGGAACUCAUGGGAUACUGCCGGGGUCAACUCGGAG